UUUGUCACUGGUAAGGGCGUAUGGUGGAUGCCUUGGUAGACAGGACCGAUGAAGGACGUGACGGGCUGCGAUAUGCCUCGGGGAGCUGCCGAGUGGGCUUUGAUCCGAGGAUUUCCGAAUGGGGA
RNAcentral lists this non-coding RNA (125 nucleotides) under Brugia timori. Its description in RNAcentral is "Bacterial large subunit ribosomal RNA". It matches the Rfam family "Bacterial large subunit ribosomal RNA", at positions 1 to 124 of the family's 2925-position model. Lineage: Eukaryota; Metazoa; Nematoda; Chromadorea; Rhabditida; Onchocercidae. The record is from Rfam by way of RNAcentral.